Molecule: ribosomal RNA, 433 nt
Filed under: uncultured bacterium
Lineage: Bacteria
Description: partial 16S ribosomal RNA
Rfam family: Bacterial small subunit ribosomal RNA
Source: RNAcentral
AACGAACGCUGGCGGCAUGCCUAACACAUGCAAGUCGAACGAGACCUUCGGGUCUAGUGGCGCACGGGUGCGUAACGCGUGGGAAUCUGCCCUUGGGUUCGGAAUAACAGUUGGAAACGACUGCUAAUACCGGAUGAUGACGUAAGUCCAAAGAUUUAUCGCCCAGGGAUGAGCCCGCGUAGGAUUAGCUAGUUGGUGGGGUAAAGGCCUACCAAGGCGACGAUCCUUAGCUGGUCUGAGAGGAUGAUCAGCCACACUGGGACUGAGACACGGCCCAGACUCCCACGGGAGGGAAGAAUGGGGGAUAUUGGGACAUGGGGCGAAGGCUGAACCCAGCAUGCCGGGUGAGUUAAUGAAGCCUUUAGGUUGGAAAGCCUCUUUACCCGGGGAUGUAAUGACAGGACCCGGAGAAUAAGCCCCGGCUAACUCCGUG